RNAcentral lists this ribosomal RNA (253 nucleotides) under uncultured bacterium. Its description in RNAcentral is "partial 16S ribosomal RNA". It matches the Rfam family "Bacterial small subunit ribosomal RNA", at positions 524 to 776 of the family's 1533-position model. The record is from RNAcentral.
UACGUAGGGUGCGAGCGUUGUCCGGAAUUAUUGGGCGUAAAGAGCUCGUAGGCGGUUUGUUGCGUCUAUCGUGAAAACCUGGGGCUUAACCCCGGGCCUGCGGUGGAUACGGGCAGACUUGAGUUCGGUAGGGGAGACUGGAAUUCCUGGUGUAGCGGUGAAAUGCGCAGAUAUCAGGAGGAACACCGGUGGCGAAGGCGGCUUUCUGGACAGAUACCGACGCUGAGGCACGAAAGCUAGGGGAGCAAACAGG